Molecule: ribosomal RNA, 625 nt
Filed under: uncultured bacterium
Lineage: Bacteria
Description: bacterial SSU rRNA
Rfam family: Bacterial small subunit ribosomal RNA
Source: RNAcentral
AGUGGAGUGAUGAGUGCUGGAUAAAUUGCUAGCGGCGGACGGGUGCGUAACACGUGGGUAACCUGCCCCUAUCACUGGGAUAACACACUGAAAAGUGUGCUAAUACCAGAUAACAUAAGCUUUUGGCAUCAUUAGCUUAUCAAAGAAUUUCGGAUAGGGAUGGGCCCGCGUCUGAUUAGCUAGUUGGUGAGGUAACGGCUCACCAAGGCAACGAUCAGUAGCCGACCUGAGAGGGUGAUCGGCCACACUGGAACUGAGACACGGUCCAGACUCCUACGGGAGGCAGCAGUGGGGAAUAUUGCACAAUGGGCGAAAGCCUGAUGCAGCAACGCCGCGUGAGCGAUGAAGGCCUUCGGGUCGUAAAGCUCUGUCCUAUGGGAAGAUAAUGACGGUACCAUAGGAGGAAGCCCCGGCUAACUACGUGCCAGCAGCCGCGGUAAUACGUAGGGGGCAAGCGUUAUCCGGAAUUACUGGGCGUAAAGGGUGCGUAGGCGGUUUAUCAAGUCAGGGGUGAAAGGCUACGGCUCAACCGUAGUGAGCCUCUGAAACUGGUGAACUUGAGUGUAGGAGAGGAAAGUGGAAUUCCCAGUGUAGCGGUGAAAUGCGUAGAUAUUGGGAGGAACAC